UUCAGUAAGAUUAAGAAGAACAAUAAUAUUUCUCUAUAUCUUGAACAAUAACAUCAUUUGCAGUACAUUUGCUCAAACAGCCAAUUAGCAGAAGAGCAGUAACAUCUCUCUAUAUCAUGAGUUCUACUCAUGGUAUUAUAAAUAUCUCGACUUGUAUGGCUUGACUGGUAAACUAUACAUAUGCUUUCUAUUUAUUUGCCUGACAGAAUGCCCAUCAGAUGAAUAAAUCAAAUAGGAGGAACUGGGGGUAUUUCAAACUGAAACAAAGAAUCGAUCCUAGCUACAUGAAUUGCAGUAGCUUUAAAGCUUCUGAUUAUUUUGCUGCUACUCCACCAGGAAAGUGCACGGCUUCAAGAACCAAAACACGCCACUGGAGCUCUCUUCGGCCUCAUAAGCCCUGUUGUUGUUCAUAUCUUUAACCCCAAAAGGUUGCCUCUUAGCUUCUCUGCUGUUCUCCUGAUCCUUAUUAGGCGUCAUCUUAUCCUGAAGAAAAGGAGUAGAUAUCAACAUUAGUUUAAAUGCAUGGUUAGCGUGUGUUGAGAUGCUAUUUUUGGAUUCACAGCACUAAUAGAAGAUCAAUAGGUUAUCUGUCACUAUAACAGUAAAUGAUGAACCGUAUGAUUAGCGCCACUAAUUUGCAGGAAAAAAAA
RNAcentral lists this long non-coding RNA (650 nucleotides) under Hordeum vulgare. RNAcentral describes it as "long non-coding RNA (HVUL_LNC010995)". Lineage: Eukaryota; Viridiplantae; Streptophyta; Magnoliopsida; Poales; Poaceae. The record is from RNAcentral.